This 475-nucleotide ribosomal RNA is filed under the name uncultured bacterium. RNAcentral's name for it is "SSU rRNA". It matches the Rfam family "Bacterial small subunit ribosomal RNA", at positions 26 to 518 of the family's 1533-position model. The record is from RNAcentral.
AGGACGAACGCUGGCGGCGCGCCUAAAACAUGCAAGUCGAACGAGAAACCCGGGCUUGCCCGGGUGGACAGUGGCGAACGGGUGAGUAACACGUGAGGAACCUGCCCCGAAGACCGGGACAACACCGGGAAACCGGUGCUAAUACCGGAUACCUUCACCGGAUCGCAUGGUCUGGUGAAGAAAUGGAUUCCGCUUCGGGAUGGCCUCGCGGCCUAUCAGCUAGUUGGUGAGGUAACGGCUCACCAAGGCGACGACGGGUAGCUGGUCUGAGAGGAUGUCCAGCCACACUGGGACUGAGACACGGCCCAGACUCCUACGGGAGGCAGCAGUUAGGAAUCUUGCGCAAUGGACGAAAGUCUGACGCAGCGACGCCGCGUGCGGGAUGAAGGCCUUCGGGUUGUAAAGUCCGUUUCGGCGGGAAGAUGAUGACGGUACCGCAGAACGAAGCCCCGGCUAACUUCGUGCCAGCAGCCGC